AACCGGCACUUAUCUCCUUUUCUUAAAUACCCUCACUCUCUCUCUCCCUUAUCCCUUCACUCUCUCACCGUCCUCACCCUCCUCACCCUUGGCGGCAGUGGCUUGUGUAGCCAUCAUUGGAUCCUCCUCGUAAUCAACAUCGACGACAGUUCGAUUUGCAUAUAUGAUAGCCUGAGGAGAGGGAUAGACAAGUACCAAACUAUUUUAAGUGCACUAAAUAGGGCAUAUAAGAAGUACCGUAGGUCCGGAAGAUCGUAUGGGAGAUACAAGAUUGAAGCAACUGAAUUUCGGAUCUUCGAACAUAAAUAUAUCCUUCGCCAACCAGAGGCCACCAACCUCUGUGGAUUCUACGUCAUGCGGUACAUGCUAUAUUUUGUAGAGGAUGGAUACCAUCACCGCAAUGCUGAGAAAUUGGGUAUCGAUACAAGUGAAAUUCUACCACACGUCUUUAAAGCUCUCAUUGAUGAGUUUUGCGGGUUCAUCCGUCAUCAUGUCGUAGACCCAACUGGCGAAUACAACAUCAACAAGGCCCCACAACGAGUGCAAUCUUCUGCCCCUCCCCCUCGGGACCAAGCCGCGAAGAAAUUAGCUCCUAGGAAAAGAAAAACCAACUAGCUAGAUUUAUGUGAAAAAAAAUGUAUUUAAUUAGUGUUUAUGCAUGAACUAUGGAAGUGUACUUUAUGUGUAAUGCAUUUGAAUAUUUGCUAUUAUUAUGGAUUCUAUUCU
This 726-nucleotide long non-coding RNA is filed under the name Oryza sativa Indica Group (long-grained rice). RNAcentral describes it as "lncRNA OsMH63_10G006080". The record is from RNAcentral. Lineage: Eukaryota; Viridiplantae; Streptophyta; Magnoliopsida; Poales; Poaceae.